UAUCAAUAAAAUGGGGUAAAUUUCAGAAAACAGAAGGCAAUGCUGUAUGGCUGCUGAAUCUUGGAAAGGUCUUUGAAUCCACUAAUUAUGAAUCCGAUAAUGACAGGUGCCAUAUAAACAUAGCCAUCUCUGAACCCACUAUGUGCAGAAGGAUAUAGCAUAGCCCAGGUGUUCCAUGACAGUAACAUGUGUAUAAAUAUGUUACUAGAGGGAACAUUGGCUGACUUCCGGAGGGAUAGCCACCUGGGACCUUGCGGGUUCCAUCAGGCUGGCACUGAGUAGAGGCUUUUUUGCUGUAUUUCUAAUUUUGUGUCACGUAACUCUGUAGCUCCUCUGCUCUAGAUCUAACACUUAUAGUAUGGUUAGCCGUCGGUAGGGGCGAGAGAGAUGGCUUGGAUGGUAAGAAUGUUUGCUGAGCAAACAUGAAGACCUGACUUCAGGUCCUCAGUACCCAGUUAAAGAGCCAUUGGACAUGUUUGCAAACCCAGCACUGUGGGCGGCAGAGAUAAGGAGGCUUUCAAGGGCCUGCAGGCCAUUAGCCCAGUUCCAGGUUUGGUGAGACUGUAUUUCAAAGGAAUAAAGCAGAGAGUGGUACAUCAGGACACCUGACGCAGUCCUCUGGCCUCCUGUUCAGCCACCCUUCAUCCUCCACAGAGAAAGGUGACCUGACUUGUUUGGAGUGACAAAGCAGGCCUACCGAGACGGGACUUCCUGGCGACUACACAGCUAGAGAGCUCCCUGGCCUGCGAGGAGGAACCACGUGGCCACACCCACCGGCCUCGGGGAGGCGUAACCCAAGCGAGUGUCCUGGAUCUGCAGCAGGUUUCACUGGCUACAGCGGAGAACCUGUUCCCCUGGGCCUCAGCUCUGCAGGGGGGAGGAAAUAAAAAUAGCCCAGGAGAGAGGCCAGCGACUGGGCUGUGGACAGCGUGCAUGCCUUUCGCAUUACUCUCUUCGGAUUGCCCUGAGAGGUCCUGGGUGCCAGGCCCUCGGCUGGGCCCCAGGAGGCAAAGCCCAGCAAGCAGGGCCCCGCCUCCUGGGAGAGGCAGAAGCUCGCUCCAGAACCGCAGAGAGAUUUGAGUGAGACCUUUCACCCGCUCCCUCCUCCCAACGUGAAAGCUUCCAGAAGAGUCACGUUGGAGAAAACGGUAGCUAAGCAGAGGUGCCGGGCCUUCCAGGAAGUGGCAAAGGCUAGCAGAGUGACAAAUGUGAUCCGGGAGAGAAAAUCAAAGGGCCAGGGGCACACGGGCAGGAUGCGCAAUCCUGGUUCGGAGCCAAGAGCUUCAGAACUGUAGGGCAGUGGGGAGCUCAGGGAGGUUGAGGAGCAGAGGGUGUGGCAAUCUCACGUAUGCCAUCACAAGAUCCAAUUACCAUAACCUCCAUCGGAUACCUACCUCCCUUUAGCCUCUAGAGUUCCUGGGGCGGAGAUCUCACAUCUUUGCCGGGUCAGUAUUGUGGAAACUUGCUUGCUUCCAACUUACCACCCCCAACACAUGCUUGUUUAGUGGUCAGAUUCUGAGGGCCUCAAGCUAAGAUACCUUACCUUGGUCCUGGUCACAUGCAGGGCUCCACAUCCUCCACAGGGUCUGGGCUCCAAAGAUCUCUGCAGCUUGGGUGGCCAUGACCCCUCCACCUGGCACAUCAGCAGCCCUUCUGGAGACAGAAAUCAUGGAGUUUGGUAUUCUCUCCUUAAUCCAACAUGGGAAAUAUAUGGACCUCACUACAUGACAAUAGAGACACCCAGGAAACAUCGUGACCUCUGUGUGUCUCUCCUCCUUGAAAAGCAAGACUUUGCAGAUGCCAUUAGUGAGGAUGAGGACAGUCCACUGGAUAGAUGAAUGGGAGCUCUGCCACUGUUUCUUCUUUUGCUACUCUGUUUCAGCAGGGGCCUCUGGCCUCAUUUGUGUUCCCUGGGGACCACAGCUAUGGCACCAGAGCCGAAGUUAUCCUGAGUUCACCUCAGCUGAUCUGUAGGCAGCAACUUUAAGGAAGACACGUGUAGAGUGGCAAGUGGAAGGCAGGGUACUGCUGAGUCUGAGCUCUCCGAAAGAGUAGCCAUAGAAGACCAAAUUGCAUAAAUGAACCCCCUGGACAAGGACACCACUCUCCUGGAAAAAGGGUCUCAAUGUGAAAACCAACACACAAACAAGAUACUCUCAAGUAUUGCUCAGAACUGGGACCCGAGAAACACUGCAGGACUGGGAAGCAGACUGCUAUAAAUUGGCAUCAGGGAAAGUAUAUAUGUAUGGCUGACACUGGACCUGACCUUGGAACGGGAAGGAGCCAGCGAGGCAAAGAUCUGGAGAGCCUGGGCAAAGGUUCCACAGGUGCAAAGGUCCUGAGACUGCAGUCCACACACCUUCCAGAGCUCCCGAUCAGUACAGUCGGAAUUGCAGGCGUUACUUCAUUAAGACAAAGGAAACCACUUUCAGUCUUCUGUGACUUCCUCACUGCCUCCAAAUCCUCCAAGCUACUAUGAUUUUUUUUUCUUUCAGGAAAUUCUUCAAGGUUUAGUAAUCAGUGGUUUAUAAAAAAAAACCUGGCCUGUGA
Mus musculus (house mouse) is the source of this 2550-nucleotide long non-coding RNA. RefSeq annotates it as predicted gene, 32725. The record is from RefSeq and is a predicted model, not a curated record. The transcript has 6 exons. NCBI's taxonomy places the organism in Eukaryota, Metazoa, Chordata, Mammalia, Rodentia, Muridae.